UAGUCCACGCCGUAAACGAUGAGUGUUAGGUGCCUGACCAAGUUGGGUACCGCAGCUAACGCAUUAAACACUCCGCCUGGGGAGUACGCACGCAAGUGUGAAACUCAAAGGAAUUGACGGGGACCCGCACAAGCAGCGGAGCAUGUGGUUUAAUUCGAAGCAACGCGAAGAACCUUACCAAGUCUUGACAUAUUUCGGAGGGAAUUAGAGAUAAUUCCUUAUGACUUCGGUCAACUGAAAUAC
This 243-nucleotide ribosomal RNA is filed under the name uncultured bacterium. Its description in RNAcentral is "partial 16S ribosomal RNA". It matches the Rfam family "Bacterial small subunit ribosomal RNA", at positions 791 to 1035 of the family's 1533-position model. The record is from RNAcentral.